AGAGUUUGAUCAUGGCUCAGGACGAACGCUGGCGGCGCGCCUAACACAUGCAAGUCGAACGAGAGAGAAGGAGCUUGCUUCUUCGAUCGAGUGGCGAACGGGUGAGUAACGCGUGAGGAACCUGCCUCAAAGAGGGGGGACAACAGUUGGAAACGACUGCUAAUACCGCAUAAGCCCACGGGUCGGCAUCGAUCUGAGGGAAAAGGAGCAAUCCGCUUUGAGAUGGCCUCGCGUCCGAUUAGCUAGUUGGUGAGGUAACGGCCCACCAAGGCGACGAUCGGUAGCCGGACUGAGAGGUUGAACGGCCACAUUGGUACUGAGACACGGCCCAGACUCCUACGGGAGGCAGCA
This 351-nucleotide ribosomal RNA is filed under the name uncultured bacterium. Its description in RNAcentral is "bacterial SSU rRNA". It matches the Rfam family "Bacterial small subunit ribosomal RNA", at positions 8 to 353 of the family's 1533-position model. The record is from RNAcentral.